This is a long non-coding RNA of Branchiostoma belcheri (Belcher's lancelet), 4518 nucleotides long. RefSeq lists it as uncharacterized. The transcript is spliced from 2 exons. Lineage: Eukaryota; Metazoa; Chordata; Leptocardii; Amphioxiformes; Branchiostomatidae. The record is from RefSeq and is a predicted model, not a curated record.
AAAAUUGCAGAUUGUAUAAAUUUUUCUUCUGCAAUCUUGAAAAUCUAUCUGCAGAUUGCAGACUGCAGACAGGUAUUUCGAACACUGUAAUACUAUAAUAGGCAUCAAGACAUGUUGUGUUAGAAUGUGGGAUUAUCACAGUGAACUUCUGGCAUGUACAUAUAUGUGUUCGGUAUACAGUCAAACCUGUCCAGGCAACCAUCUCUUCAAGCCGGACCUUUUCCUGAAACUUUUCUCCUUUGACACAAGCACGAACAGCCUACUCAGGGCGACCACCUGGCCAAAACAGCCAUGAUUCGGAUCUGCUCAUUGCCACCACAACAUUUUCAGUGGAGUGACAAAAUCAAAUGUACAUGAUUUAGGUGUGUAUACACAUGUUUGAGUAAAAAUGAAUUUUUUAGCCCAGCGCCUAUAAUCAACAAAUACAAAAGGUAUAUAGAGCAUGACUAAGGGUUAGACAAGUUUUCAAAAAGCCACUUUUCCCAUUGGGCAAGUACAAGUUCAUUUCCACCAACUUUUUCACUUGCCCAAAAUAUACAUAUUUCUAUGCAUUUUUACUAGUAAUCUUAUUUUGCAGUUUAUAAUGUUGGAUGCUUAACUUUCCUAGCUGAGAAAGGGCACCCCGGGAUCCUCCAUCAAAGUGAUUCAGUGCUGUGAGCAAAUUUAACUUUUAACCACACUCGGCCAAAUUAUUAUUUUGCAUUUGAUUAAUCAUGAAUUUUUACCACAACAGUACUAAUCACCAAGAGUGCCCCAUUUUCCCAGAUGUUUUUCCACUUUUUCUUUUCUUGCAGCAAUAUCGUAUUCAACUUUUUAAAAGAAAUUUAUAUAUCGUCCAAGAAAGUAUUCAAAAUUUACUUUGUUGGACUUUCUAUUAUUGUAUAUAAUGAUUUUUGGUAACGGAAUAAUUAAAUUUUGGAUUGUAGGGUGCUAGGAAGCAGGUUUCCAAAGAUAAUGAUAAAACUAGUUAAAUAAAUAUGUUGACCUGUUUUUUGAAAGUACCAAGUUUUUAUUUUAUCCCAAAAGCUAAUUUAAUUAGAUUAGGGCAUUCCCAAAACACAUGAAGGUACAUUUGUAGGUUUCUCCCUCGGACUGGCAGAAUGAGCACAAUGGAUUAUCAAUACAUUUCCAAAUAUGUAAAAGUCUAUUUGUAGGUAAGAACUUAUGUAAGAGUCUAUAUUGAAAGAACCUAGCUGAUGGGUCAAUUGUACAGUAAGUUGAGGAAGUAUAUGCUUGUUUCCAAGGGAUGGGGGUGUCAAUGAAAUGUUAUAAUGGGAUAAUGAAUGUUACUUUCUCUGCCUGCAGGUCCUGCCUCACACCUACCAUGUCAUCCUGCACGGGCAACAACUUCAGCUGACCUGCCAAAUGACAUGAGGAAUUAUGCUGACACAGGACUUAGACUUUCAGUAGCAAGGUCAAUCAUUUGGGACUGCAAGUGAGAUUACUAACUAUAGAGCAAUAGAGAUUUGACCUCUAGCUCUUUCCCCAACAGGCAUAAGACUUUAGCUACAUAUAUUUGAUAUGACUUUUCCCUUCUUAACAGGCAUCAGUGGAUUACUGAUCGUAUUACACAGAAUUGGCUUUUUCUCUUAACAAGUGAAGUUGUUGGCAACACUCUGAAUGCUCUUGUGUAUUGUUUAAUAGCUUUUUUCCUCCGAACAGGUACAUUUUGUAAGCAGAGUCCAGUUUCUUGUACUGAUUACUUUAUUGUUACCUCUGAUCAGGUGUUUGGUUGCUUCUAUUGUUUAAUAGCUUUUUUCCUCCGAACAGGUACAUUUUGUAAGCAGAGUCCAGUUUCUUGUACUGAUUACUUUAUUUUUACCUCUGAACAGGUGUUUGGUUGCUUUUAUUGUUUAAUAGCUUUUUUCCUCCGAACAGGUACAUUUUGUAAGCAGAGUCCAGUUUUUUUGUACUGAUUACUUUAUUUUUACCUCUGAACAGGUUUUUGGUUGCUUCUAUUGUUUAAUAGCUUUUUUCCUCCAAACAGGUACAUUUUGUAAGCAGAGUCCAGUUUUUUUGUACUGAUUACUUUAUUUUUACCUCUGAACAGGUGUUUGGUUGCUUCUAUUGUUUAAUAGCUUUUUUCCUCCAAACAGGUACAUUUUGUAAGCAUAGUCCAGUUUUUUUGUUACUGAUUACUUUAUUUUUACCUCUGAACAGGUGUUUGGUUGCUUCUAUUGUUUACUUGCUUUUUUCCUCUGUUGUGAGAUUUUGAGAGUCAGAGAUUUUGAGAUUGUGAGAGUCAGAAGUUGGAAUUGUGUUUUGAGAUUGGCUGAAAAUGGGAAUAUUCUAUGUGUGUAUAUGAACAGUAUGUGUCAGAGGUUGGAAUUGUGUUGUGAGAUUGACUGUACAUGGGAAUGUUCUAUGUGUGUAUAUGAACAGUAUGUGUCAGACUGUAUGUAUGAUUGACUGUACAUGGGAAUGUUCUAUGUGUGUAUAUGAACAGUAUGUGUCAGACUGUAUGUAAGAUUGGCUGUACAUGGGAAUGUUCUAUGUGUGUAUAUGAACAGUAUGUGUCAGAGGUUGGAAUUGUGUUGUGAGAUUGAUUGUACAUGGGAAUGUUCUAUGUGUGUAUAUGAACAGUAUGUGUCAGACUGUAUGUGAAACCUAGGUUCUGUUUGAAGGUAGAUACGGCCUUAAACUGUAUUUUAGGGUUCAUGGGUUAUUUUAAAGGCACAUUAAGCCUUAAACCGUCUUAAGAUUCCUGGGUUAUAUUCUACUUAUAGUGAAAGGCAGAUACCGACUUAGACUGUCUUAAGAUUCCUUGGUUAUUUUUGCAUUCAGAGUAGGUUGCAUUGUAUGUUUCCAUUCAGGCAGAUACCGCCUUAAAGCUAACGUUAAGAUUCAUUGGUUAUUUUAAAGGCAGAUACCACCUUAAACCGUCUUAAGAUUUCUGAGUCCUGUUCUAGGUUAUAAUGUUUGAAAAUGGGAUUCCUGGUUUCUGUUCUAGGUUAUGUUAGAAGGCAGAUACUGCCUUAAACCACCUCAGAAUACUAGGUUAUGUUCUAGGUUAUGUUAUGUUAGAAGUCAGAUACCACCUUUAACUGUCAUAAGAUUCUUGAGCUUUGUUCUGGGCUUAUGUUUGAAGACUUAUGCCGCCUUAAAUUGAUUACUGUUUUUCUUUCCUGGAACAGGUCAAGGCAUUUAACUGUAAUCUGACUCACUGGACUGCCAUUUUUUUCUUGAACAGGGGAAGGUGUUUAACUGAAUUGAUGACUGCUUUCCCCUGAGGCUGUCAGGUGAAGGUGUUUUAUUGAGGAAGAUACUGCCUUAAACUGGCCUAAGAUUCCUUUUAACAUGUUUUAAAACUGUAUUUUUACUGUAUUGAUUCCCUUAAACAGGUAGAGGUGUUCAACAGUAUUGAUUACUGUUUUACUUAAACUGACUUCUCUGCUUCCCUAUUUCUGUGUAGAUGCCUGCGGUGGGGGUUAAGGGGCUCUGGGACAUGUGAUAGCUUAGCAGCUGUACUCUUGACUGUUAGAGUAGCUAAGCACAUGGGUUCCUCCUGCUACACUCUUAGUCCAUAGGGUGUCUAGCAUACUGGUUCCUCCCAUCCCCUAAAGCCUCUCACGUCUGGCUCCUCGUGCCAACCCCCGGGCAACGGCCUCAGCUGGCCGGCCAAACGAUGUGAGGGGUGGUCCGGAAUCCUGACACUGUAGGGCAGAGGAUGUCCGGUGGAGAGGUUACUAGUGUUGGCACAGGCUUUCCUACUGCAUGUUAUUGGCCCUUGGUGUGACCAGGGUGAACCAGGCUUGCAAAGAGGCAGUCAGCCAUGGCAAGGCUCAGAGAGGAGAUGGACAGCAGCUGGUCAUACAUUUGUACUAACAAAGACACAUUGCAUGAAUAAAUGUUCCAUUAUCAGUGUCUAGGAGAACAACCUAAAGGCAAAUAGUUCAAGGUCUGAGCGAGCCUGAAGGAGACACUCAAGCAGAGGUAGAACUUCUGAGUGGCAUUCGGUCGCUGACAACCUUCCUUUCAAGCUGAGAUUGAAGUCACCUUCUGAUCUGCACCUGUGGAUGUUAAUUUGGUUCCUAUUUAGCUCAAGCCAAUCCACGUGCCUCAAUUUGUUGUACAAACCAGCCUAGUACAACUGUAUGACUGUUAACAUUGUUGUUUCUAUGGUACCGGUAGUUUUUGGAUCUUUCAUAGGAUGCUAGUGUUUUUAUAUAGCACACUCGCUCCAUUGAUUUCCUGCUAAAAUCCGGGAAUCAAGAGUUGGCAUUAAUCAGAAAAUAUGUAAAGCAAAUAAAUAGUCCAUCAACUACAAUCCAAUAACUGAGAAACUGAGAGGAUGACUGUUGUUGUUGUGAUAUAGCUAAAAUGUUAGAAGCACUAAUGUGAAGCUUCAGGCUUAGAUAUUAUGAGAUAGGAGAACUGUAGACAUCUUUUACAUUUACAUUCCAAGAUGAUGAUAGUGCUAGUCUACGUCUUCAUUUGUAAAGUCUGAUUGACAAACGAGUUAAUCUACUAUUCCACUGUUUUAUUGCUGGUGCAUGACAAAUAAAAGACUUGUUGGCU